This 504-nucleotide ribosomal RNA is filed under the name uncultured bacterium. RNAcentral describes it as "partial 16S ribosomal RNA". It matches the Rfam family "Bacterial small subunit ribosomal RNA", at positions 29 to 523 of the family's 1533-position model. The record is from RNAcentral.
AUUGAACGCUGGCGGCAGGCCUAACACAUGCAAGUCGAACGGUAGCACAGAGAGCUUGCUCUCGGGUGACGAGUGGCGGACGGGUGAGUAACGUCUGGGAAACUGCCCGAUGGAGGGGGAUAACUACUGGAAACGGUAGCUAAUACCGCAUAACGUCGCAAGACCAAAGUGGGGGACCUUCGGGCCUCACACCAUCGGAUGUGCCCAGAUGGGAUUAGCUAGUAGGUGGGGUAAUGGCUCACCUAGGCGAGGAUCCCUAGCUGGUCUGAGAGGAUGACCAGCCACAAUGGAACUGGGACACGGUCCAGACGACUACGGGAGGCAGAAGUGGGGAAUAUUGCACCAUGGGCGAAAGCCUGAUGCAGCCAUGCCGCGUGUAUGAAGAAGGCCUUCGGGUUGUAAAGUACUUUCAGCGGGGAGGAAGGCGGUGAAGUUAAUAACUUCACCGAUUGACGUUACCCGCAGAAGAAGCACCGGCUAACUCCGUGCCAGCAGCCGCCGUAA